AGUCGUGGUCGAGCGAGCGCGCCGGUAGCCCGCGACUGCCUGCGUGCGCAUUCCCGCGCUUUUCCAGGAUUUAUAACCGCGUAAACAAUAUUUAUUGGACUUUCUCUCCUGUACUGUAAUUGAAAUUGUGGUGUUCUCAUUUUGAAUUUUUUGUGCGGUGAUUUAAGUUUUUUUUAUCAAGAUGGAGGUAGGAGUCCAGAUCGUGGGUAUAAUCCUGCGCCUCCUGAACUUCCUGCUGGCGCCUCUGUUCUGGUUCCGCGCCAGGGAUCACCGCCGACUGCCGCCCGUCACCAACCCGGUGCUGCUGAAGAGCGCUGCCGAGUUAGCUGAGGCUAUCAGGAAUGGUGAGAUAACGAGCGAGAAACUAGUGACGAUCUACAUCGAGCGUGUCAAAGAAGUGAACCCUUACAUCAAUGCGGUCGUCGAUGAAAGAUACAGGGCUGCCACAGAAGAUGCUAAGGCUGUUGACCGACAGAUAGAGGAAGCGAAGAAGAAUGGCACCUUUGAAGACUUGGUGAAGAAUAAGCCGUUGCUUGGUGUACCAUUUACGGUGAAGGAGAGCUGUUCUCUUGCUGGGCUAUCAAACUCAGUAGGCUGCCUAGAAAACGCUGGCCGUCGAGCGACCACGGACGGUGGUGUCGUGAGCCUCGUGAAGAAAGCCGGAGCCAUCCCACUGCUGGUCUCCAACACCCCCGAGCUAUGCCUCGGAUGGGAGACCACUAACCUGCUGAGGGGGACUACGAAUAACCCGUAUUGUUUGAAUAGAACGCCUGGGGGUUCUUCUGGUGGCGAGGCAGCGCUACUGUCGAGCGCGGCGUCAGCGCUGAGCGUGUCGUCGGACAUCGCGGGCUCCAUCCGCCUCCCCGCCGCCUUCUGCGGGCUCUUCGGACACAAGCCCACGCCGGGCAUAAUCUCAAUAGAAGGCCACAUCCCGACCCUCAGCGAUGAGAACUUCCCCAAGUUCCUCACCGUCGGACCCAUGACACGACGAGCUGAUGAUCUUAAGCUGUUGAUGAACAUUAUGGCGGGAGAACAUAAUCAACUGAACCUGGAUGUACCUGUUGAUAUGAAGGAUGUUAAGGUGCACUAUAUGUUCGAGGCGACAGACUCGGUAGCGCUGCUGAAGGUAGAGAGCUGCAUCAACGACGCCAUCCGUAACGCCGUCGCUUACCUCGAGAAAGAUUGUGGCUGUACUGUUAGUGAGGAAAAAUUCAAAGAUUUAGAAGACUCAGUCGAAAUAUCGGUGUCGGUAUUCUUUUCAAUGAAGGACAUUCCCAAUCUGUUGCAAGACCCCGCCAAUCCGAAACGUGAUAAAAGUUUAAUCGUUGAACUUAUAAAAUAUAUGUUCGGUGGCGGGUCGCGAUCACUACAAGGACUGAGUUUCUCUGUUAUAAAUAGAAGUCACUUGUUCAUACCGGAUUCUCGAAGAGGUUACUACAACGGCAAGGCGAAUAAACUACGUGAGCAUAUGCAGAAAGUCCUAGGCGACAACGGCGUGUUCAUCUACCCUGUAUUCAUCAGCCAGGCACAUCACCACAACCAGGUGUUCCUCAAGGCUUCCGGCGUCAUGUACACCAUGGCCUUCAACAUCCUCGGCAUGCCGGCCACCACUGUACCCAUGGGGCUGUAUAAAGGACUGCCUGUUGGUGUGCAGGUGAUAGCAGCCCCAAAUCAAGACAGACUGUGUUUAGCAGUAGCCAAACAACUGGAGAUCGGCUUCGGUGGAUGGAAACCGCCGCAGUAACGUUAUACCUAAGUAAAACAUACCAAAUACUUUGAUAAGCUAAGCAAACCACAUGUAUGGCGUGGUUUAACUUUUAUACCAGAACAAAAUAAUAUAGGAUUUUAAUAGAAAUUUUCAUAUUACUUUAUUCUAUUUUGUACGUAAAUGUAUGUGAUAGUAAACUAUUAAAUUGAUCAUGUAUAAUCGGGUACUUGACUAUUUUUGAAAUCGUUAUACAUACCUGAUGUAAAAUCGAUUAUUGAAAUUUUCUAUCCUUUUCCCGUUAAACGGUAUUUAUAUAACCCUAUUUGUAAGAAAGUCUUCAAUGAGUAUUUAUUGUUUUGUUGCUCGCCGUGUUGUUUUUUGUUAGAGAUAUAAAAUAGUCGAGCACCCAAUUUGUGAAGACUUUGCAAUGUAAUAAAUUAUUAAUUAAUGAUUAAUUCAAUUUUGAAAAAUAUGGUUACUUGCGUGUAUCUAUUUGUUUAACGUAUAGUUUUUUAUUUAUCUAAAUCUAAUCUUUAUUUGUCUGGAUUCCGAAUCUAACAGUAUUUAAAUAUUUUAUUGUUUAAAACUCAAACCUUUUGAAUUAUUGUUAUUGGUCAAAUUGUAUAGGAACGUAAUAUAAUUACUUCAUAAUUUAUUUAUAAUAAAGUAUUGUACAGUUUGUAUGCUGAUAAAUGAUAAUUAUAGAUGUUUUAAGCCUUAUUACCAAGGAUAUACGAGGUAAUGGAUGUUUAAAAUUUAUUUGUGAUGGGUGCUUUAAAUUAUUUCGUUACCAUAAAUUAGCAUUCCAAAUUAAAUAAUUGUUUAGAAGCGCUGUGAAUGUAAUAUUUAGUUGUGAACUAAAUAUUAGGUGCAUUAUUCGUGUAGAUUUAUAAGUUGUGGUUCGCACUCCCUUUCAAUUGUAAUUCUAAUUGGUUAUAGCGAAACAAAUAAAUAAAGUGGUGCGAA
Molecule: unclassified non-coding RNA, 2674 nt
Filed under: Helicoverpa zea (corn earworm)
Lineage: Eukaryota; Metazoa; Arthropoda; Insecta; Lepidoptera; Noctuidae
Description: fatty-acid amide hydrolase 2-A-like, transcript variant X4
Source: RNAcentral